This 66-nucleotide small RNA is filed under the name Hordeum vulgare subsp. vulgare (domesticated barley). Lineage: Eukaryota; Viridiplantae; Streptophyta; Magnoliopsida; Poales; Poaceae. The record is from RNAcentral.
GUACGGACACUUGGUAGAGCGUUCUGUAACGGAUUCUGUAACCCUUCUAGGUUGUGUUUCUUGAUG